This 820-nucleotide long non-coding RNA is filed under the name Sorghum bicolor (sorghum). RNAcentral's name for it is "long non-coding RNA (SBIC_LNC004266)". Lineage: Eukaryota; Viridiplantae; Streptophyta; Magnoliopsida; Poales; Poaceae. The record is from RNAcentral.
UAACUACUAAAUAAGGGUUUAUUAGUGUUUUAUCCAAACAUUAUCCAAAAGCCACCAAAUUUUGUGUGGAGCCAGGGAAUAAUAUUCAGAGACUCCCCACAAAGUUUGGUGAUUUUUGGGCAUAUUAAUAAAUUACUAAAAUUCAUAGAAAUUUUAUUUGCUAAUUAAAAGAGGCAAUUUUUAUACACUUGCAAACUAUCAGAAAACAGAACCUAAUAUUUUUCUUGGGUUCUACUUAUUUCAGGGAAUCUAUACAAAACUUUCCAUGAUUUUUGGAUCAAUAUACAAUUUUCUACACAAUUCUACAAAUCAAGCAUUUUUAAGCAAAAAGAAAAAAAAAGAAAAACACACUGUGCUACGCUGGUGGGCUGCUUGGACCCGGCCCAAGACGGCCCGCGAGCUUCCCGCGUCGCGCGCGGGCGCUGUCCUCCUCACAUGGCCACUGACGGGCGGGUCCCGCCCGUCAGAUCCUCCUUCCACCUCCCGUCGCGGCUCCGGCGAGCUCAAGCUCAUCGCCGGUGAGCUCCCGGUCUCCGCGGUGGGGUGGGUUAGCACCUUCGGCCACUCGUGCAACCCCUAGGACAUACGGGACAAUCCCUACUCCCUCCUAACCCUCCUGCUCACGUCCACGGCGGACGGCGGCACUAACCGCGCGAGCACCGGCCGUUACAAGUGGUUAGAACGCGAACCCACCAGCGCAUAAGCUUCAGGGGCUCACCGCGACUUCAACGGAGUAUCGAGCGGCGAUGGAAAGGCUUGGAGCAGCUCUGGCCGCGGUGAAGCGCUUGCGGCGGUGCUUCGGCCGGAGUUGGAGAGGAAC